AAAAGGGUAAGCUAAUACAAGCUGUUGGGCUCAUAACCCAGAAAUAGAUAUACUCUCCCUUCUA
This 64-nucleotide transfer RNA is filed under the name Lamprotula leaii. RNAcentral describes it as "tRNA-Met". Lineage: Eukaryota; Metazoa; Mollusca; Bivalvia; Unionida; Unionidae. The record is from RNAcentral.